AAAGGGACGUGCUAUUGCCUGAUAGUCGACGUCGAAGUUACGUACAAACGUCGUGUGGUGAUACCUUUAUAAAACUCCCGAGUUUUUAGCAGAAGAGCUCACAUUUUUCCUUUUUUCAAUCGACAAACUUUUGAAAUGUAUAUCGACUCAAUGGAGGUGACCAGUUCUAAACACAUGGAGGCCGUACGGUUAACCUUGACGCCCGCAACCAAGCUACGGUGGACUCAGCUUCGCGUUGCCGCCGAGGAGGACGAGGCCUCCGGACAGUGUCGACGCAGCGUCGCCGGUGUCAAGUCGACAAGCACCAGGAAACGAAACGGACGGGACCGUCGUCGAAAGUUGACCAACGGCCCUUACAACGCGGAACCGAGAGAGGAGCGACGAACCGCAAGACGACUUCACCCUGGAGCAAUGGCACCGGAGAACACAACGCAGUACUUGAUACGCGAGCAUGCAGACAACAUGGCGCCCAAUUGCGUUAACCCAGAGAACGAAACCCCCGCCUCGCUCGAAGGACUUUGAGGAAAUAUAUGGCUCGUGUUGGUAGCACCGAGGACGGAAUGACGAAGCAGCAGCAACUUUUCCCCACUCUGUCGGAAAAGUGGGCGCCCAGUAGGGAGUGCUCUUCCCCCUCGCAAAAGCCUCCCCCCGCGCCGGCCCCCCUCGACGAGCGAGCGGAGCAAAAGGGCACCCGAGCUGGCGGUGUGGCCACUGCUUGCAAAGUCAGGUAACCAAGCCACCAAGGGCAGGUAUUGUUGCACUACUUUGUCCUUGAAUGGUGCCAUGCAACCUGUCACACUGUGUGAGCGUUUUCCAGGUCAGCCCUGCCUGCCUGCCUGCCCACCUGGGGACUACAGGCUCUGCUGCGGGGAGACCCAGGAGCUCCUGAGAGGUGACUUUUAGAGUGCAAUCGAAGACAUUUUAUUAUAAACUCGAUGACGAGAGUCGCGGGAUCGGGUUCGUCCUGUAAAUACACGCGGCGUGGAUUUUUGUUACUGAAGAUUAAUCAUGUGUUAAUGGAAAUUAAUCAUGUGUGCUGUUCAAAAUAAAAGGAAAUUAUGUAAACUGGAAA
Long non-coding RNA from Syngnathus acus (greater pipefish), 1072 nucleotides. RefSeq lists it as uncharacterized. The record is from RefSeq and is a predicted model, not a curated record. NCBI's taxonomy places the organism in Eukaryota, Metazoa, Chordata, Actinopteri, Syngnathiformes, Syngnathidae. The transcript has 3 exons.